CUCGCUUCGAGGUCUCUCCUUCUUUGUAGAUGGUAGACUCUAGCAUGCUGGACCUCUGCAGAAGACACUCUUUGCCCUUACAUAUUAUGUGAGCCGGGGCAUCAUCCUUCGGACCUAUGCUAACUCCGGGUCGGAUGCUAUAUUCUGACCUGGAACGAUUGGUUUUGCUGCUGCUGCUGCCACUGCCACCGCCACCGCCACCGCCACUGACUCCUGGGGACUCAGGAGGGUGCUGACUCCGGAGGUAACCUGGUAGGCCUCGCCUGUUCACUUUGAGAUGCAGAACAAAGCCCUUUACAGAAAAAGAUUUGGAUUUUCUGUGCUAAGCCAUGGAAGUAGUUUUCUAGACAAAAGGUGACUUCAGAACCUUCCAUAUCGACAUUUACAGCCACGGGACUGGACUGGCCAACAGUGUGAGCAUUUGUGAGCAUGCUUGAACGCUUCUUCGCAACAGGAGUGCAGCCUCGUUUAUUAUGGGUCAGAGGAAGGGAACAAUAGGGCGCUAAGAGGAUGUCUCGUCUGCCCCGCUGCCUGGGGUAAGCCCAAAAUAACCCGCUGAAUUGGAACUCUGGCCUCUUUUCUCUGGCCCCUAGGGAAGCCUUUCACAACCAUCCUCUAUUAUCCGACCCAUUUUUAACAAAGUUUAGUAUCAUAUCAGAAAGCAUCCCAUGUGUCAAAACUCUAUCCCCACUGCUGCUGACUAACCGUUUAUUCUCAUGUGCAUACCGAGCAAACGUGGAGGAGAGUCCCUACCACCGCCACUGCCACUGCCGCCGCCGCCACCGCCGCCACCACCACAGUUCACCUGAACAUUUAAUCUGAACUCCAGCCAGUGCCUGGGUCAGUCGAUGGAACCUGAUGUCUGCCCUACCUCCACCAGCCUCUCCUGCCUGUUAACACAAAUAAAGGUUUAUU
RNAcentral lists this long non-coding RNA (915 nucleotides) under Rattus norvegicus (Norway rat). RNAcentral's name for it is "HAFT23 cufflinks 00053917". Lineage: Eukaryota; Metazoa; Chordata; Mammalia; Rodentia; Muridae. The record is from RNAcentral.